GCUUUUCUAUAUAAAGUACAAUGGACAGACUGAAGCUGAAAAUGACAUCUGAACAUUAUGAAAUAUUACGCACGCUAAUAACUUAUAAUUAUUCUAAUUAUAGUUCAUCUAUAAUUAUUAUUGUAACUUAAAAUAGAAUCAGCGUAGAAAGUCCCCAUACAUGACACAGGAGGGAGGGGAGAGGACAGAGCUGUAUAUAAGGGGCUGGAGCUUUGGGGAGACACCAGACUGAUCCAGGACCAGAGCAGCACCAGUGGCUCCAACUGCCAGAACUGACCAUGAAAUACCUGGGAAUCCUGAUGCUUCUUGUACUCUCUGCAACUGUCAUCUCUGUCCAGUCGGCUGCGGUUUUCCCACCUUAUCAAUGUGACAACUGCAUGGACUGUUGUGACAAGUUUGUCUCUGACACGGUAUUCAACAAUCAGUUCUGCACACAUUGUAGAUCCCACUGCUGCGGCAGAAUAAAUAAUAUCCAAAGAUAAAAAGAGGCGACCAACUCAUAAUGGCAUCAAGCUUCCAGCAAUAACCCAGGACAUCUGACUGUAUUAUACCAACAUUAGAACAGAAGGAUUACGUUUGGAAUCCAGGAUAAUAGGGGUCAUCAAUAGCACGUUAUUGUGUCCUGACUUGAGCAUCAUCCAGAAGUGCAAGUUGAGGAGUAACAGGAGAGUCAUUCAACCAACAGUGCUCUACACGCUACACCUUUUCCUUGUUUGCAGAGUGCAGCAAGAACUUGACCACAAAUGCUUCUUGAAUGAACACCAAACAGAUUUAUUUUUGUUAUUUAACACUUUCAUGGGAUCAUGGUAAAUGACACCUAAUCCCAAUCAAUCACAACAAAUUAAACCUUUAUUUGAUUUAA
This is a long non-coding RNA of Xenopus laevis (African clawed frog), 862 nucleotides long. RefSeq lists it as uncharacterized. The transcript has 3 exons. NCBI's taxonomy places the organism in Eukaryota, Metazoa, Chordata, Amphibia, Anura, Pipidae. The record is from RefSeq and is a predicted model, not a curated record.